GACGAACGCUGGCGGCGUGCUUAACACAUGCAAGCCGAACGGAAAGGCCCUGCUUUUGUGGGGUGCUCGAGUGGCGAACGGGUGAGUAACACGUGAGUAACCUGCCCUUGACUUUGGGAUAACUUCAGGAAACUGGGGCUAAUACCGGAUAGGAGCUCCUGCUGCAUGGUGGGGGUUGGAAAGUUUCGGCGGUUGGGGAUGGACUCGCGGCUUAUCAGCUUGUUGGUGGGGUAGUGGCUUACCAAGGCUUUGACGGGUAGCCGGCCUGAGAGGGUGACCGGCCACAUUGGGACUGAGAUACGGCCCAGACUCCUACGGGAGGCAGCAGUGGGGAAUAUUGCACAAUGGGCGGAAGCCCGAUGCAGCAACGCCGCGUGCGGGAUGACGGCCUUCGGGUUGUAAACCGCUUUCGCCUGUGACGAAGCGUGAGUGACGGUAAUGGGUAAAGAAGCACCGGCUAACUACGUG
RNAcentral lists this ribosomal RNA (468 nucleotides) under uncultured bacterium. RNAcentral describes it as "partial 16S ribosomal RNA". It matches the Rfam family "Bacterial small subunit ribosomal RNA", at positions 28 to 507 of the family's 1533-position model. The record is from RNAcentral.